Small nucleolar RNA from Talpa occidentalis (Iberian mole), 130 nucleotides. RefSeq annotates it as small nucleolar RNA SNORA31. NCBI's taxonomy places the organism in Eukaryota, Metazoa, Chordata, Mammalia, Eulipotyphla, Talpidae. The transcript has a single exon. The record is from RefSeq and is a predicted model, not a curated record.
CUGCAUCCACUGAUAGACCUUAAAUAAUUUGCUGCUGUUGUUUAGACUUGCACUAGGAUGCAAAUGGGAACAAAAAUCCCUGCACUUUCUGCACUAUGUGGCAGCCUAGACUGACUAGGGGAAUAUACAA